GGGCGGUUAGCUCAGUUGGUAGAGCGCCUGCCUUACAAGCAGGAUGUCACUGGUUCGAGUCCAGUACCGCCCA
This is a transfer RNA of Gloeocapsa sp. PCC 7428, 73 nucleotides long. It matches the Rfam family "tRNA". Rfam says of the family: Transfer RNA (tRNA) molecules are approximately 80 nucleotides in length. Their secondary structure includes four short double-helical elements and three loops (D, anti-codon, and T loops). Further hydrogen bonds mediate the characteristic L-shaped molecular structure. tRNAs have two regions of fundamental functional importance: the anti-codon, which is responsible for specific mRNA codon recognition, and the 3' end, to which the tRNAs corresponding amino acid is attached (by aminoacyl-tRNA synthetases). tRNAs cope with the degeneracy of the genetic code in two manners: having more than one tRNA (with a specific anti-codon) for a particular amino acid; and 'wobble' base-pairing, i.e. permitting non-standard base-pairing at the 3rd anti-codon position. Lineage: Bacteria; Bacillati; Cyanobacteriota; Cyanophyceae; Chroococcidiopsidales; Chroococcidiopsidaceae. The record is from Rfam.